AACAAAUUCCUUAAAGGCCGGGAACGCAUUGGCGGUUCCUCUGGUACUGCAAUUUGCAAGUGUUCUU
Molecule: long non-coding RNA, 67 nt
Organism: Maniola jurtina (meadow brown)
Lineage: Eukaryota; Metazoa; Arthropoda; Insecta; Lepidoptera; Nymphalidae
Exons: 3
Source: RefSeq, a predicted model, not a curated record